CUACGGGUUGCUGCAGUGAGGAAUAUUGCACAAUGGGGGGAACCCUGAUGCAGCAACGCCGCGUGGAGGAUGACGCAUUUCGGUGUGUAAACUCCUUUUAUAUGUCAAGAAAAUGACGGUAGCAUAUGAAUAAGCACCGGCUAACUCCGUGCCAGCAGCCGCGGUAAUACGGAGGGUGCAAGCGUUACUCGGAAUCACUGGGCGUAAAGGACGCGUAGGCGGGUUGGAAAGUCAGGUGUGAAAUCCUACAGCUUAACUGUAGAACUGCACUUGAAACUACGAGCCUAGAGUAUGGGAGGGGCAGAUGGAAUUAGUGGUGUAGGGGUAAAAUCCGUAGAUAUCACUAGGAAUACCGAAAGCGAAGGCGAUCUGCUGGAACAUUACUGACGCUAAGGCGUGAAAGCGUGGGGAGCAAACGGGAUUAGAUACCCGUGUAGUC
RNAcentral lists this ribosomal RNA (439 nucleotides) under uncultured bacterium. RNAcentral describes it as "partial 16S ribosomal RNA". It matches the Rfam family "Bacterial small subunit ribosomal RNA", at positions 339 to 795 of the family's 1533-position model. The record is from RNAcentral.